UUCAAUCAGUUUAAUUCCACUUGGGAUCUACUCUUUAAGGAUUCCACCCCUGGUUUGGACAGCGCUCAGUCUCAAAAUCAGUACGUAACAAACUACAAAAACCAGGUUUCUGCAGUGUGUUCCACUUCUUUAAGUACAAAAACCGCCGCAUCUUUGCUCACUAUAUUUUUAGCAAUUUUAUCAGUAAGACUGAACUUUUAGAACAUUUUAAAUAAACAUCUUAACACUUGUGGAAGCAUGCAG
Molecule: long non-coding RNA, 243 nt
Organism: Agrilus planipennis (emerald ash borer)
Lineage: Eukaryota; Metazoa; Arthropoda; Insecta; Coleoptera; Buprestidae
Exons: 2
Source: RefSeq, a predicted model, not a curated record